RNAcentral lists this ribosomal RNA (267 nucleotides) under uncultured bacterium. Its description in RNAcentral is "partial 16S ribosomal RNA". It matches the Rfam family "Bacterial small subunit ribosomal RNA", at positions 524 to 788 of the family's 1533-position model. The record is from RNAcentral.
UACGUAGGGUGCGAGCGUUAAUCGGAAUUACUGGGCGUAAAGCGUGCGCAGGCGGUUUGGUAAGACAGGCGUGAAAUCCCCGGGCGUUAACCUGGAACUGCGUUUGUGACUGCCAGGCUAGAGUACGGCAGAGGGGGUGGAAGUUCCACGUGUAGCAGUGAAAUGCGUAGAUAUGCGGAGGAACACCAAUGGCGAAGGCAAUCCCCUGGGCCCUGUACUGACGCUCAUGCACGAAAGCGUGGGGAGCAAACAGGAUUAGAAACCCCU